Erinaceus europaeus (western European hedgehog) is the source of this 304-nucleotide non-coding RNA. The record is from Rfam. NCBI's taxonomy places the organism in Eukaryota, Metazoa, Chordata, Mammalia, Eulipotyphla, Erinaceidae.
GGAUGUGAGGGCGAUCUGGCUGUGACAUCUGUCAUCCCAUCGAUCGCCAGGGUUGAUGCGGCUGAUCUGGAUGACUAGGCGGGUGUCCCCUUCCUCCCUCACCACUCUAUGUGUGUCCCUCCCGAAGCUGCGUGCUCAGUGGAAGAGGACGGCCUUCCCUGAAUAGAGACAGACUGUCGAGUAGCUGCACUCCCCUGCUAGCACCUCCAACCAAGCUCUCAAAAUGUCAACCUAUAUCUAAGACUGUGGGAUAACUAUAAAGGUUAUCUAUGAGGUUGGGGAUGGGGACCACAUACCUUUGGUU